Molecule: ribosomal RNA, 273 nt
Filed under: uncultured bacterium
Lineage: Bacteria
Description: partial 16S ribosomal RNA
Rfam family: Bacterial small subunit ribosomal RNA
Source: RNAcentral
GACGGAGGGUGCUAGCGUUGUUCGGAAUCACUGGGCGUAAAGGGCGCGCAGGCGGCCCGGUUGGUCGGGUGUGAAAGCCCGGGGCUCAACCCCGGAACGGCACCCGAGACGGCCGAGCUCGAGACCGGGAGAGGAGGGUGGAAUAGCCAGUGUAGAGGUGAAAUUCGUAGAUAUUGGCUGGAACACCGGUGGCGAAAGCGGCUCUCUGGCCCGGUUCUGACGCUGAGGCGCGAAAGCGUGGGGAGCAAACAGGAUUAGAAACCCCCGUAGUCC